Molecule: long non-coding RNA, 621 nt
Organism: Amblyraja radiata (thorny skate)
Lineage: Eukaryota; Metazoa; Chordata; Chondrichthyes; Rajiformes; Rajidae
Exons: 3
Source: RefSeq, a predicted model, not a curated record
UAGACCAUAUUUACCUCAAGCACCCAAAAACAUUGAUCAUCACGACUUUAAUAGGGCAGAGGUCUGGGCUUUCAAUGGAAGUCCAGUCAUUAUACUAUAAGAGCCACGACAUGCUCCAAAACAUACUGGAAUCUGGUGUUUGAUUUACCAGUGGGUAUUUUACAUAAGAACAGUGGAUUUGUUUUUUGAUGGUGAUGCUACUGGAAAGAGAAACCAUGGUCACACGAUCUUUGAAGGACAUAUUGAGCUACGCAGCAAACUAGUGAACCACACGCAGACGUUCUUUGUAUCUGAAACUGGCAGAAUGCGAUGGGAUAGCUGCAUGGAAACCAGCUGCAAUUAUCUAUAUUUGACAAUUCACACUUUUCUAAAAAAAAAAACACUUCAUUGUACAUAUUGUGAAAUCUACCUCUCUUGUCCCAAUAGUAUCCUAUUGUCAGCUGCUGCUGAAGGGCUCAUCCUUUUACUGACCCUCUCUGUAUUCACUGUGCUCAGUUCACACAAUGAAAAGGCAGUUUUGGAGAAUUUGGUAUCUGCUCGAUAUCUGCUUCUUCUUCAAAGUUAGGCCCACAACAACUAAAAUGACUUCUCUGAAGACAAAGUCCGAAGAAGGGUCUCUAC